This 518-nucleotide long non-coding RNA is filed under the name Rattus norvegicus (Norway rat). RNAcentral's name for it is "long non-coding RNA NONRATT013462". Lineage: Eukaryota; Metazoa; Chordata; Mammalia; Rodentia; Muridae. The record is from RNAcentral.
GUGGCAGUGGCGUUCACCUCCAGCUUUCUCCUCAGAGGAGAAAGAGUUAUACACAGUUGCAGGGUCCAGUCUGUCGUGGGAAUGGGGGAGCAGGGAUGUGAGUCAGCCGGUCAUGUUGCAUCCACAGGCAAGAAAUGAAGAUGGAUGAAUUCGAAUCUUCUAUCAGCUUUCGCCUCUUCUAUGAAGUCCAGGCUCUCAGCCCCUGGAGCAGAGCCACCUGCAACCAAUUGUGGUCUUCCCACCACAAUUAACUAAAUCAGGGUGUGCUUGGAGGCUUGCCUUCCGGGCGAUUCUAUAUCCUGUCACUGUGACAACCAACAUUAACUAACAUAAGUAGUAUCAUGCUGAGUACCAACUUUCCAGUCUAGCCUGCAGAUUUUGAGACUGGCCAAAUUCCGCAGAAGUUCACAGGAGGUCAAUUCCUCAGAAUAAGUGUGUCUAUCUUACCUAUCACAGAUAAGCAGGUGUUAAACAAGCAGAUAAGACAAUGCACAGAUAAAUAAAAAAUCUACUUCUUG